RNA transcript from Populus trichocarpa (black cottonwood), 5448 nucleotides. It is a transcript of the gene named ENHANCER OF AG-4 protein 2, with no coding region annotated. Lineage: Eukaryota; Viridiplantae; Streptophyta; Magnoliopsida; Malpighiales; Salicaceae. The transcript has 13 exons. The record is from RefSeq and is a predicted model, not a curated record.
CCAACCCAACAAAGGCCCAAAAUAUCUCUCUCUUUCUCUCUCGACACUGCUUCAAUUUCUCUCUCCAAAACCUCCACAAUCUCUCUCUCUCUCCUAAAAAAUCCCAAAUGCACAACCCUAGCACUCCUCACUCUCCUCCUUCGAUACCUUAGCACCCCUGUCGCCGGAAACCUAACCGGCACUACCGCCGGCACAUAUCCGGCGAGAAUUAUUCGUUUGACGUCCUUCUCUAUUCGAUUCGAUUCGAAUUCUCCAUUUCAAUUGGCUCCCCUGUUCUUCCUUUUCGAAUUUCAGGUUUUUUCCCUGAUCAAUUACCACCACCACCACCACCACAAAGAAGAAGCAGAGCGACACAAGUAACCGCCUAUGGCUCCGGGGCGUAAAAAGGGAGCGAAUAAUAAGAAAGUUCAGUUGCGUUUGGGUGAUCUUGUGCUUGCUAAAGUCAAGGGUUACCCUUCUUGGCCUGCGAAGAUUAGUCGGCCUGAAGAUUGGAAACGAGCCCCUGAUGCUAAGAAAGUUUUUGUCUAUUUCUUUGGAACUCAAGAAAUUGCUUUUGUUGCCCCUUCUGAUAUUCAGGUAUUCACAAAUGAAGUAAAGAAUAAACUGUCGGCUCGGUGCCAGAGUAAGAAAGAUAAGUUCUUUUCCCAAGCUGUGAAGGAAAUCUGUGCAGCUUUUGAAGAGUUGCAGAAGGGAAAGUCAAGUGGAUUGGGAGAUACUACUGAUAGAUCAGCACCAGGAUCUGAGGCUCCAUCUGUUGACUCAAUGGAAGAGGAUGAGGCAGAGGAUGACUUAAAUGAGGACAUGGGUAAAGUUGGACAAAGUGGAGAAGUGUGGAAUUUAAGACGUGAAUAUAGUUCUAAGUUAGAGCGUUGCUCCAGUAGACGAGAUGAAGCUGGCUCCGAAGAUAUGAAGCCUUCCGUAUCAGGUGACGCAGAUGACAGUUCAUCCCCAGGUAUAUCUUCUGAAAAGAAGGUUAAAAUGUUUGAUAGUGCACAACCACAAGAAGUAUUAUCUGCUUCCAGUUUGGAUAAUGUUUGCUGUGUAAAAGUUGAAGCCUCUUGUAAUGGAAAUCUGGAUCUUAAUUGCAAUAAGAACCUGGGUACUGGUGAGGGGGCGUGGACAAAUCCCCAUGAGUCUAAGACAGUGUUUUCUGGGGCUGAGAGAAAAUUGGAAUGUAACUCCAGGGAACAAGUUAUAGGCGGAGAAAAAGGCAAGCUUGCUAGUGGCAGUAUAAAAGAUCCCCCCCCAGGCCCUCCUAAAUCAGAAUUAGAUGCCAACGGUGGUAGAAAAGUAAAAGAACUAUCAAAAGUCAAGAAGGGUACUAUGGUGUCUGAUGAAAAACAUGAAAAUAAGGUUUUUCAAAAGAAAAGGCGUGCCCAACCUGAUCAUGGAAAAUCUGAGCUUGAAGCAACUGAAAAUGCAAAUCCUGCUAAGAAAUCAAAGCGUGUAGAUGUGGCAGAUGAUAUUACAAAGGGACCUUUCUCAGAAAACAUGAGUGUUUCACCAAGCUCAAAUGUUGUUGAUGACCAAGCAGCCAAACGGUCCAUGGCACAUGGAAAAAGGGAGAUCCUUUUGGGAUUAAGAGCCCGAAGCGACAAAGCUAAAUCAGAUGCUUUUGCCCAAACUAGUAAAGUUAAAUCUAAUCUUUCUUCUCAAUCAGGUAAGGUCAAAUCUGGUACAUCUGCCAAGAUGAGUAAAGUUGAUAGUGAUGCAUCUGCCCAAACAGUUAAAGUCAAAAGUGAUGCUUCUGCACAAUGGGGUAACACUAAUACUGAUGUAUCUGUUCAAAUAAGUAAAGUCAAACUUGAUUCAACUGCUGAAAUUGGCAAAGCUAAACCUGAUGUUCCUGAUCCAACGAGUAAAGCUAAAUCUGAUGUUUCAAAUGAUGAAGCUGUGCUGCCUGUAUUAAAACGUCGUAGACGGGCAAUGGAGGCGAUGUGUGAUGCUGCUGCUCUCAAUUCUGAUGACAGAAUGGAGAAAAAUGCUCUCGAGCUAAAGAGUGAUAUGGUUUCUAUUAAUGCGAGGGUUUCCAUUACCCAACAGCCCAAAAGGCGAAGAGCUGUUUGCCUUUAUGACAAUGAUGAUGAAGAUGAGGAACCCAAAACUCCUGUUCAUGGAGGGGCUGCCAAAAAUGGCAGAGAACCUGUUUCUGUUUCUGAUGCUUCCAAGAGAACUAAUGCACGAAUUGAAAGUUCUGUUAAUCAACAACAACGAAACUCUAUUAACGCUCAGACAAGUAUCAAGGAUUCUACUGGUUUAGAGAAUAUCCAUUCCAAGGAAUCAUCUUCGCUGUUACAGAACAAUCCUCGUUCGCCCAGCUAUCCAAAAACUGUGAAGAGGAAUGAUACACAUAUCUCUCCAAGUCCUGGCAAAUCAGAGCCUGAGCAGUUACUGUCAAAGGAGGCAAAACCAAUCACAACUACCCCUAAGAGGUCUCCUCAUCUGCUUUCUGCCACCAAACCAAUUGUGGAACAGCAUAAAGCUAUCAACCCUGCAGUUAAAGUUUCCACUCCUGGCACUCAAAAAAAGGCCCAGGCUGGACCUGGCAAGGUUUCAGGUCCUGUUUUGGAUAGUUCAAACGCUUCUCAAAAUCUUGCGCCAAGUCAAAAAAGUAGAGCAGCUUUUUCUGGGGAAAGGCCAAAAAGUACUCCUAAAGCAACUUCACAAAUGAGUAACCUGACUGUUCCAAUGGGUGCUUUAUCAGAACUGGAAGUUGGUAUGGAUGACAGACCCAGCUUUUUGGUCGAUUCUAAGACUCCAGAUUCUGUUACAUCUAUGAAACAUCUCAUUGCUGCUGCUCAAGAAAAAAGGAGACAGGCUCACUUGCAAUCCUUUCCUCUUGGAAACCCUGCCUUUAUAGCUCUCAACAACGCUCAGGGAAGGAGCCCCAGCUCCUCACCAAGCCAACUUCUUUUGUCUGGUACUAGCAAUGCUGCACAGGCAGAUAUGCAGGGCUUUUAUCAUCGCACAGAUUUAGUUUCUCCAUCUACACAUGGUCGCCAAUCAGCAUCACAUGACCAAGUGGAAGGUGAAGAAAUCGAGGAGCGGAGAGUUAGUUCUGGACACAGGGCUGCUGGAGGUUCACUGAGUGGUGGCACUGAGGCUGCUGUGGCCCGCGAUGCUUUUGAAGGGAUGAUAGAGACUUUAUCAAGGACGAAAGAAAGUAUUGGACGUGCAACUCGCCUUGCCAUUGAUUGUGCCAAGUAUGGCAUUGCAAAUGAGGUUGUGGAGCUUUUAAUCCGAAAAUUGGAAAGUGAGCCCAGUUUCCACCGCAAAGUGGACAUAUUUUUUCUUGUGGACUCCAUCACCCAGUGUUCACAUAAUCAAAAAGGUAUUGCUGGAGCUUCGUAUGUCCCUACAGUGCAAGCAGCAUUACCACGCCUUCUCGGCGCUGCUGCUCCAGCAGGAGCUAGUGCUCGGGAAAAUCGUCGUCAGUGUUUAAAGGUCUUAAGAUUGUGGCUUGAGAGAAAAAUCUUGCCUGAAUCUGUUUUGAGGCGCUAUAUGGAUGAUAUUGGAGGUUCAAAUGAUGAUACCUCUUCUGGAUUUUCCCUCAGACGUCCAUCCCGAGCUGAACGAGCUAUAGAUGAUCCAAUCAGGGAAAUGGAAGGCAUGCUUGUUGAUGAAUAUGGAAGUAAUGCUACAUUUCAGUUGCCCGGCUUUUUAUCUUCUCAUGUGUUCGAGGAUGAUGACGAGGACUUCCCUAGCAGCCCAUUUAAGGAAGGUGAUGGUGCGUUGGGAGUGACAGGAUCAAUCCAUGCUUUAGGAGAUUUAGAAAUAAGUACUGCUACUCCAAGUGACAGGCGACAUUGCAUCUUAGAGGAUGUGGAUGUGGAACUUGAAAUGGAAGAUGUGUCUGGACACCAAAAGGAUGAAAGACCUUCAUCCACAGGUGGUUCUUUUGAAAUGGAACCACAGCAGCAUUGCUCAGAUGGGCCAGAACCUGCAUUAAAUGAUUCUGCUGAGUUGCUGCCUCAACCAGAUGAUUCUCCACCACCGCCUCUUGAUUCUCCUCCUCCACCCCCGCCUUUGCCUACCUCUCCACCGCCACCACUACCUCUAUCACCUCCACCCUCAACAUCUCCAUCACCUCCACCUCCACCGCCGCUUCCACCUCCACCUCCACCUCUUCCGUCGCAACCACCACCUCUUCCGUCGCAACCACCACCUCCUCUUCCUCCUGUGCCAACUAUGGUACUGCAACCACCUGUACCAACUCAACCUUUGUUACCAGCCAAACCAAUACAACCAUCUCAUUCAUCCGUACAGCCCUCCCCUCAGUUGGCAUAUCAACAAGCUGUACCUCAUGAAUACUGCACUACACCCAAUAGUAAUCAAAUUGUCCAAAUGGCUGGCGGUACUCCUCAUGGGAAUCACAUGUUUUUAAACCCUCAAGCUCCUCAACAAAAUCCACAUUUUCAGCCGGUUAAUGCACCUUUUCCACAAAGACCACUGCAUCCAAACCUGGCACAAACUGCAUCUGGUCAUUUCUCAUUUACAAAGCCUCUAAUUCAGCAGCAUCCUCAGCAUCCUUAUCCCCGUCCAUACCCUAUGCUAUCACAUCCUGAUGGACGGCCACGAUUUGCUACUGAUGAACAGUGGAGGAUGCCUUCAAGCGAAUAUGCAGAUGGUCAGCAUGGUGCAUGGAUGAGUGGAAGAAAUCCAUCACACGCAGGGCCUUCUUUUGGCCAGGAAGGUUACUUUCGGCCACCGCCUCCAAAUAAUAUGGGAUUUCAGGUUGCUCCCACCAAUAAUUUACCUGCUGGAGCUCCCAUUCCAGGUCAUGGUGUUUCACAGAUGUUGCCAUGUAGACCAGACAUGCCUUCCCUUAACUGCUGGAGGCCAGCUCAAUAACAAGUCUGAGGGCUUCUUAAGUUUUUGACGCUGUGAUCCUGAAAGGAGGAAGUACACUUGCAUUAUAUACGCCGCAAGGAAGGUUCCAUUUUGGACUUACAACUACCACUUGAAGGCAGUGCUUGAACCUUGUGGAGACUCUUGGCAGGGCUGUGUAUAUUGUAAUUUUUCCUGACAAAUGUAUCCCGGGAACAUUUGCUUCCGAGUGUAGGACCAUGUUUCUGACUUGGUUUAAGCAAACAAUUAAGCUGAAUCUGCUCAUUCAUUACAUCUCAUUAUGGGGAAUAAAGUUCAAACUAUAUGUGGGAGAAAACUUCUGCAAAAUUUGAGGUAAAUAUUUGAUGUGGACUCUCAAAACCAAAACAAUGCUCAUAAUUUUGUAUUUUUUAGAUAGGAAUAGUUUUUCCUCUUGGUAUCUUUAAAAAGUAAAGGUGUCCAACAAAAUGCUUCAAUUUAUUUUGAAGAAAUAGCUUAUUAGCUUACAAACAGUUAAUUCCAUAUGUGAAUAUCUUUAUGACCCCUCUUACGUGCUGUAUCAUCAUCACAAUGUGAACAGUUGCUCAUUUUGAGAAUUCAAUUUACUUUUUGUUGCAACCA